AUAAGUAAUGUGAAUUGCAGAUUUUCAGUGAAUCAUCGAAUCUUUGAACGCACCUUGCGCUCCUUGGUAUUCCGAGGAGCAUGCCUGUUUGAGUGUCAU
RNAcentral lists this ribosomal RNA (99 nucleotides) under Piloderma byssinum. RNAcentral describes it as "partial 5.8S ribosomal RNA". It matches the Rfam family "5.8S ribosomal RNA", at positions 58 to 154 of the family's 154-position model. From Rfam's summary of the family: 5.8S ribosomal RNA (5.8S rRNA) is a component of the large subunit of the eukaryotic ribosome. It is transcribed by RNA polymerase I as part of the 45S precursor that also contains 18S and 28S rRNA. Lineage: Eukaryota; Fungi; Basidiomycota; Agaricomycetes; Atheliales; Atheliaceae. The record is from RNAcentral.